Molecule: ribosomal RNA, 763 nt
Filed under: uncultured Rhodocyclaceae bacterium
Lineage: Bacteria; Pseudomonadati; Pseudomonadota; Betaproteobacteria; Rhodocyclales; Rhodocyclaceae
Description: bacterial SSU rRNA
Rfam family: Bacterial small subunit ribosomal RNA
Source: RNAcentral
GCAGGCGGUUUUGUAAGCCAGAUGUGAAAUCCCCGGGCUUAACCUGGGAAUGGCAUUUGGGACUGCAAGGCUUGAGUAUGGCAGAGGGGACUGGAAUUCCUGGUGUAGCAGUGAAAUGCGUAGAUAUCAGGAGGAAUACCGAUGGCGAAGGCAGGUCCCUGGGCUGAUACUGACGCUCAUGCACGAAAGCGUGGGGAGCAAACAGGAUUAGAUACCCUGGUAGUCCACGCCCUAAACGAUGUCGACUGGUUGUUGGGGGUUUGACACCUUCAGUAACGAAGCUAACGCGUGAAGUCGACCGCCUGGGGAGUACGGCCGCAAGGUUAAAACUCAAAGGAAUUGACGGGGACCCGCACAAGCGGUGGAUUAUGUGGAUUAAUUCGAUGCAACGCGAAAAACCUUACCUACCCUUGACAUGUCCUGGAGCCUGGAGAGAUCCGGGUGUGCCCGAAAGGGAACGGGAACACAGGUGCUGCACGGCUGUCGUCAGCUCGUGUCGUGAGAUGUUGGGUUAAGUCCCGCAACGAGCGCAACCCUUGCCAUUAGUUGCUACAUUCAGUUGGGCACUCUAAUGGGACUGCCGGUGACAAACCGGAGGAAGGUGGGGAUGACGUCAAGUCCUCAUGGCCCUUAUGGGUAGGGCUUCACACGUAAUACAAUGGUCGGUACAGAGGGUUGCCAAAGCGCGAGCUGGAGCCAAUCCCAGAAAGCCGAUCGUAGUCCGGAUUGCAGUCUGCAACUCGACUGCAUGAAGUCGGAAUCG